CAAAUCUUGGAUCUUGCUAAUAACUAUCUCCGUGGUGCCAUACCAACAUGUGUCACUAACUUUAGUGGGAUGGUAGAUGGAACUUAUGAUCCCAUGGGAGGUAAAAUUGAUAUUAUUUCAGGGAGAAAUUAUGUGAGUUGCUCAAUUAUGAAAAAGGGGAAAAUGGUUGAGUAUAGCACCAUUCUUAAUUUUAUAUGGAGUAUGGACCUCUUGAACAAUAAAUUAUAGACGAAUAUUCUUGAAGAAAUAACAAGGUUUAAGG
Molecule: unclassified non-coding RNA, 262 nt
Filed under: Hevea brasiliensis (rubber tree)
Lineage: Eukaryota; Viridiplantae; Streptophyta; Magnoliopsida; Malpighiales; Euphorbiaceae
Source: RNAcentral